GUAGGGAAUAUUGCGCAAUGGACGAAAGUCUGACGCAGCGACGCCGCGUGAGUGAUGAAGGCCUUAGGGUCGUAAAGCUCUGUUGAAUGGGAAGAAAAAAAUGACGGUACCAUUCGAGGAAGGACCGGCUAACUUCGUGCCAGCAGCCGCGGUAAUACGAGGGGUCCUAGCGUUGUUCGGAAUCAUUGGGCGUAAAGGGUGUGCAGGUGGCCAUGUAAGUCAGGUGUGAAAGCCCCGGGCUCAACCCGGGAAGUGCACUUGAUACUGCGUGGCUUGAGUACCGAAGAGGGUAGUGGAAUGCCAGGUGUAGUGGUGAAAUACGUAGAUAUCUGGAGGAACACCGGUGGCGAAGGCGGCUACCUGGUCGAGUACUGACACUGAGACACGAAAGCAUGGGGAUCAAACAGGAUUAGAUACCCGAGUAGUCC
Molecule: ribosomal RNA, 428 nt
Filed under: uncultured bacterium
Lineage: Bacteria
Description: partial 16S ribosomal RNA
Rfam family: Bacterial small subunit ribosomal RNA
Source: RNAcentral